This 254-nucleotide ribosomal RNA is filed under the name uncultured bacterium. RNAcentral describes it as "partial 16S ribosomal RNA". It matches the Rfam family "Bacterial small subunit ribosomal RNA", at positions 524 to 776 of the family's 1533-position model. The record is from RNAcentral.
UACGAAGGGGGCUAGCGUUGCUCGGAAUCACUGGGCGUAAAGCGCACGUAGGCGGCUUUCUAAGUCAGGGGUGAAAUCCUGGAGCUCAACUCCAGAACUGCCUUUGAUACUGGGAAGCUUGAGUUCGGGAGAGGUGAGUGGAACUGCGAGUGUAGAGGUGAAAAUUCGUAGAUAUUCGCAAGAACACCAGUGGCGAAGGCGGCUCACUGGCCCGAUACUGACGCUGAGGUGCGAAAGCGUGGGGAGCAAACAGG